RNAcentral lists this ribosomal RNA (1053 nucleotides) under Triticum aestivum (bread wheat). Its description in RNAcentral is "partial small subunit ribosomal RNA". The record is from RNAcentral. Lineage: Eukaryota; Viridiplantae; Streptophyta; Magnoliopsida; Poales; Poaceae.
AUGGCGCUCCAAGCUCAGCUUGAGCUCUACCACCACGCCAUGGCGUUUGUCAGGUCCGCGGCGCUCAAGGCCGCCGUGGACCUACGCAUCUCCGACGCCAUCCACCGCCGUGGAGGUGCCGCCACCUUGCCCGAGGUUGCCACCGAGACCGGGAUCCAACCGACGAAGCUUUCCCACCUCCGUCGGCUCAUGCGCGUCCUCGUCACCUUCGGCAUCUUCUCUGUCGAUCAAGGCCGCCACGCCGAUGCCAACGACGUGCGCUACAAGCUCACCCCGGUCUCCCGCCUCCUCGUCGGGGACUACAACCAGUCUCCCAUCGUGCGUCUGUUUUUGGACCCGUCGUACGUGACCGCUCUCUGCGGCAUAGCGGAGUGGUUCACCGACGAGCACGCGUCAGCUCGCACGCUCUUCGAGGUGGUGCACGGGUGCACGCGAGAUGAAAUGGUAGCAAGGAUGGAUACGCGCGGGGAGUACAACGUCGGCGUGGCCGCCGACAGCCGCCUCGUCAUGGAGGUUGCCCUCAAGGAGCACCGCGGCAUCUUCGAGGGCGUGAGCUCCCUCGUCGACGCCGGUGGUGCCCAUGGUGCCGCAGCGGAAGCCAUCUGCAAAGCGUUCCCCCACAUCAAGUGCAUCGUGCUUGAUCUCCCACACGCGAUCGCAGGGGCACCUGCCAUUGAAAACGUCCAGUUUGCGGCCGGCGAUUUGUUUGAGUACGUGCCACCUGCCGACGUUGUUCUACUCAAGUGGGUUAUGUGCUUGUGGCAAGACGAAGAUGCCGUCAAGGUGCUACGACGGUGCAAAGACGCCAUAACAACCGGUAGAAGCGCCGGAGGGAAGGUGAUAAUCAUCGACGUCGUGAUAGGCUCCGGUGUGUCGCGGGACGAAGUUCUUCUUAGGGAGAUGCAGGUUCUAUAUGAUGUCUUCAUGAUGCGCGUUGACGGGACGGAUCGAGACGAGCAUCAGUGGAGGAAGAUCUUCUUCGAGGCCGGCUUCAAGGACUACAAGAUCACUCCGAUGCUUGGAUAUCGGUCCAUCAUUGAAGUCUACCCUUGA